GAUGAACGCUGGCGGCGUGCCUAAUACAUGCAAGUCGAGCGAACAGACGAGGAGCUUGCUCCUCUGACGUUAGCGGCGGACGGGUGAGUAACACGUGGAUAACCUACCUAUAAGACUGGGAUAACUUCGGGAAACCGGAGCUAAUACCGGAUAAGAUAUUGAACCGCAUGGUUCAAUAGUGAAAGACGGUUUUGCUGUCACUUAUAGAUGGAUCCGCGCCGUAUUAGCUAGUUGGUAAGGUAACGGCUUACCAAGGCAACGAUGCGUAGCCGACCUGAGAGGGGGGUCGGCCACCCUGGAACUUGGCCGCCGUCCAGGCUCCUGCGGGAGGCAGCAGUAGGGUAUCUUCCGCAAUGGGCGGAAACCUUGCGGAGCAAGGCCGCGUGAGUGAUGAAGGUCUUCCGAUCGUAAAACCCUGUUAUUAGGGAAGAACAAAUGUGUAAGUAACUAUGCACGUCUUGACGGUACCUAAUCAGAAAGCCCCGGCUAACUACGUG
RNAcentral lists this ribosomal RNA (497 nucleotides) under uncultured bacterium. RNAcentral's name for it is "partial 16S ribosomal RNA". It matches the Rfam family "Bacterial small subunit ribosomal RNA", at positions 28 to 507 of the family's 1533-position model. The record is from RNAcentral.